This 28-nucleotide non-coding RNA is filed under the name Homo sapiens (human). The record is from RNAcentral. Lineage: Eukaryota; Metazoa; Chordata; Mammalia; Primates; Hominidae.
UACAAUAAAUCUCACUCAUUGGUUCGGA